This is a long non-coding RNA of Lytechinus pictus (painted urchin), 2800 nucleotides long. RefSeq lists it as uncharacterized. The record is from RefSeq and is a predicted model, not a curated record. The transcript is spliced from 2 exons. NCBI's taxonomy places the organism in Eukaryota, Metazoa, Echinodermata, Echinoidea, Temnopleuroida, Toxopneustidae.
GAAUAGAUUUAGGUUCUUUGGGUGAAGGAUUCCACACGUGACUAGAAUAGGUUAUUGGAGGAUCACCCAAACGGACUGCAUGGUAGGUUUGUGACUGGACACCUGUAGAUGCUUGGCUUCACUGCGUCGUUUGACUCUUCCCAAUAAACUCAUCAUCUCGGGUACUUGGACAGGACAGAUCUGCCGUAUCCAAUCAGUAGCAGUAGGAGAGGGGUCUUUUCAUAUCGUCUGGGGUGGUUGACCAAUCAGCAGAGGGCGCUUCAUCAGGGCCAUCAUGGCAGGGGAAGAUUGAGGACGAAGUGCACUCACCAACUUUCAUCACCUGCUGGCAUCGUCACUGCUUACAUCUUUCUCAACUCCACAAACCACCAUCCAUCCCAACCAACGUCUUUUUAACUAUUGAAGACUGACACCUGCUACAUAUUAAGGUAAAUGCAUCUCCUGUCUUUAACUAGUUUAGGGGCUUAGAAACUCAUGAGGGAGCUCUAGAGAUGUCGUACAGACUGCAGACAGAGAAUAAAAAUGAAGCAACUGAUGGAUGAGGACUGAACCAUUGUGACUGGAGAGAAAACUUCAUGCUACUACACUCCUUCAACUCUGCGCUUGAUAUACAUUUUUUUGUUAUAGUAUAUUGAUUUUUUUUGCACAACAAUAGACAGACUUGUACAGUUGAGAACUCCAGCUAUUCUAAAGACUUUCUGAUAGUACCCUAAUUACUUACAGCCUGAUUUGCCACGUUAUCAAAAUUUGGUCUUGUUUUCAAGUCAUUGGAACAAGUCUCCCUGGUUCAUAAUUUUUAUUUUUUCUAUUUUUUGCUGUGUUUUGUCCCUUUAAAAGUUUUAUAAUUUUCCUGUAUUUAUACGGCUAUAGAACAUCUUGCUCAUGCAGUAAGUGCACUAUGUUUGGUUUAAAAAGGAAUUUUGUCCAUGUACUGGUUACAAUCAAAUUUCUGUAAUGGUUUGACAUCUUAACAUAUUUCACAAAUUUAUCUGAUGGGGGGGGGGUUACAUGUACCUUUUUUAUUGAUUGGUACGCUGAAUGCCCCUUUUUUAGUUUUAAGAUUUAAUGUACCCAAUCCAGGGGAAAAAUUAGACGGGGGCUCAGGGAUUCCCCCCCCCAAAAAAAAAAAUGCUCACAAGAGCCCAGGAAACUUUUAAAAAAGGGGCCCUGGAAAAUUCCCCUUUUUUGCAAUGUUAAAGCUUAUUGAAUGUUGCAGAUUGAGGUCAUAAGUUGUAUUAAAAGCAUACCCCUGAAGUUUGAAUUUUUUUGCCUGACUCAUACCAAGAUAUAUAAUACCUUUUUUGUGUCUACAUGUAUUAAAGGAAAAAUUAUAUCAUAUACAGUUUAUAGACAUAUAAACUGUAUUUUUCUUUAAUACAUGUAGGCACAAAAAAGGUUAUGCAUAAAGAUCUUUAAAAUAUAUCUACUUUUAAAACUUGCCACACGCCAGGGCUCCUGUUUCCACAAAAUAUAUCAUUUGAUAUACAUGUUGUUGGCUUAUUUCUGGAGACUGGAGGGCUUCAUCCAAUUAUGUUCGUAAAAGUUGAAUAAAUUGGCUUCACUCAGUUCCUUGAAAAAUCAGUAUGUAUUAUAGAUUCCAAAUCUCUAGAUGUAUUCAGUGACAAGAAAAAUAAUAUUGUAAAAAAUGUCCUCGCACAAAUUGGAGAGAAAUAUUGCACUGAAAAUCAUUCAGUGUUCAAAUGGAUGGAAAUUGCAGCUCUUGGCUAGAUUUUUUUGUGUGUGAUUUCAUAGCUAGGCUUUUUUUUUUGGCCUGAAUUGCUAUGUCAGGAAGAAUUGUUAUGCAUAAUAUAAUCAUGAUUUUGAAAAUGAAACUCUGUCAUGAUCAUUGGAAGAUCAACUUUAAGUUGUUAUGUAUAUUGUCUGAUGGUGACAAUUAUGGUUAUUUUUUAUGCUGCAGUAUUGGAGGUUAAAGGUCACAGAGGUUAUUUAAAUGGCUCGCCCUUGCAGUAACUAACAAACGUUGCUCAUGUUAAGAAAACAAAAUCUGAAUACAUGUACAUGUAAUUAUGGUGGGAGGGUCACAUGGCUCGAAAGGUCACCUUAAACUCCAACUGUGGAAAGCUUAUGAGCUGAUCUACAAAAAAUAUUUUCUUUGUAGCAGGUUUGCUUUGCAUAAGCAAAAUAAAAGUCUUUCAAAGUCAUGACCUUGAAAAUCAUGAUUUUUGAAUAAAUGAACUUUAUUUAUUUAUUUUAUUGUACUCUUCAAGAUACACAUUUCCUCAAAAUAUCAUGCGAAUCCAAUGAUUAGAACUGAAGCUACAUGUACAUGUAUUACAUGUGUCAUGGGAAUAACCUCAUUUUGUACAAUUUUAUGAUAACACAUGUUUUACAUUGUAAAACUCCUUUAGUUUUUACAAAAAUUUCGUUUUGACCCCCCUCUUAUAAUAAUAAUAUGUCCAUUUAUAUAGCGCAGUUACUAUGUGCAUAUACUCAACUGUGCUUUGAUACUUGGUAUCAUGUUAUUACCCCGGCUGUAGCUAAGCCGCCAUAAUAAUAGGCGCUAAAGCGUUCAAGGAAUAAAUCCUACCGGGUACCCAUUCACCUCACCUGGGUUGAGUGCGGCACAAUGUGGAUAAAUUUCUUGCCGAAGGAAAUUACGCCAUGGCUGGGAUUUGAACCCACGACCCUCUGUUUCAAAGUCCGGAGACUAAUCCACUGGGCCACAAUGCUCCACAAAUAAUGAUUGCUUAUAAAAAAAAGAGGUGGAAUAUUGAAAUAAAUAUGUUGCAUGAUGAAGUACUACACACAUUAAACUAACCAAAAAGAAAAAAAAAGAAAA